RNAcentral lists this long non-coding RNA (1198 nucleotides) under Gossypium barbadense (sea-island cotton). RNAcentral describes it as "long non-coding RNA (GBAR_LNC017790)". The record is from RNAcentral. Lineage: Eukaryota; Viridiplantae; Streptophyta; Magnoliopsida; Malvales; Malvaceae.
CACAUUUUAAUAUUGUUUCAAUUCGGUCCAUGUUGCUGCGCAACUUGUUGGAGGGUGGGAUUAAUUUCCCUUUUGAUCCUCCACUAUUAAUUGCGUAUUCUAGUUGGGCCAUUUGCAUUUUAUUUAUUUCAAACUUGCCCCAAAUUUCUGUUUUAAGUUUAAAUUAGUUAUUUUUGUUAUUAUUUCGAUUAAAUUAGUUAAUUUCAAUAGUAUUAUCAUUAUUUAUUAUUAUUAUUAUUAUUUCUAUACAUAUACACACGCAUAUUUUUUAUAAUAUAUAUAUUUUAAACUUUUUUAAAUACAUGUACAUAUUUUAUAUAUGUAGGGCCCAAUUUCUGCUCGGCCUGUUAAAUAAAAAAAAACCAAAUAGAAACAAAGGCUAAUGUUUCAGUCCAAUUUUGUUACAAAUCCAAUAACGGGCCCAAUAGCUAAUUCCUAACCCAUGCCCGAAAUUAAUGGAAAAGGAAGGGUUAGGAAACCCUUGCAUCAACCUCCCCGCUUCCAGCAAAGCCUCCAGCCGCCGCACGUCUCGGGGCCGACUCCUCACAUCCGCUCCACAAACACCUCAAGCACGAACUCAAAGAGUCCGAAAGAGAAGAAACAGCAAAGAAAUAGCAAUUAUAUUCGAUUUAUUUUUCUUUUUCGGGCUAUAUAAAGCCGUUUUAUUUUGUAAAAUGGGGUGGGGGGAUUGAAGAAAAGAAUAUAGAAAGAGAGGUGAUUACCUUUCAGUUGGAUUUAGAGGGUUUUGUUCUUACAUUUUAUUUCGUUUUAUUUCAUUAUUAUCUUUUAUUUCAUUUCUUUAAAAUACUAAUAAGAAAGAAAAAGGGAGACUUACCUUUCGCCGGAGUCAUCAAGCUGGUGUCCCCUCCGUCGGAAUCGGGGCGCGGGCUGAACGGCGGCCAAAGGGUUAAGGAGACCCUAAAAGAAGCAGUUUCUGCUUCAAAGGGAAAGGCAAAAUAUUACCCUAAAUUUGUUUUUUUCUAAAACUUAAAACAGAACAAAGAUGGCGCCGUUUAGUUUGGGGGUUCGCGCAUAUCAACCUUAAAUGGGAGAAUUUCGCAAUAAGUCCUUCCCCUUUGCGCCAUGUUUUAUUAAGCCAGUUAUUUCUUUUUAAUUUGGCCCAGAUGUUUUUACCUUGUUUCAAAUCGGUCCCCAUUGCGGCACAGCGUUUUAAGGAGGCGGAUUAUUUCCAUCUGGG